ACUCCUACGGGAGGCAGCAGGCGCGAAAACUUUACAAUGCCGGCAACGGCGAUAAGGGGACCUCGAGUGCCAGGUUACAAAUCUGGCUGUCGUGAUGCCUAAAAAGCAUUGCAUAGCAAGGGCCGGGCAAGACCGAUGCCAGCCGCCGCGGUAACACCGGCGGCUCGAGUGGUAACCGUUAUUAUUGGGUCUAAAGGGUCUGUAGCCGGCCGGAUAAGUYUCUUGAGAAAUCCAGCAGCUCAACUGUUGGGCUUUCAGGAGAUACUGUUCGGCUCGAGGCCGGGAGAGGUGAGAGGUACUUCAGGGGUAGGGGUGAAAUCUUGUAAUCCUUGGGGGACCACCUGUGGCGAAGGCGUCUCACCAGAACGGACCUGACGGCAAGGGACGAAAGCUAGGGGCACGAACCGGAUUAGAUACCCGGGUAGUCCUAGCCGUAAACGAUACUCGCUAGGUGUCGGCCACGGUGCGACCGUUGUCGGUGCCGUAGAGAAGCCGUGAAGCGUGCCACCUGGGAAGUACGGCCGCAAGGCUGAAACUUAAAGGAAUUGACGG
Molecule: ribosomal RNA, 552 nt
Filed under: uncultured bacterium
Lineage: Bacteria
Description: bacterial SSU rRNA
Rfam family: Archaeal small subunit ribosomal RNA
Source: RNAcentral